ACGCCUAAUACAUGCAAGUCGAACGAAGUAGCAAUACUUAGUGGCAGACGGGUGAGUAACAUGUGGGUAUCUUCCCUUUGGUGAGGAAUAACACGAGGAAACUUGUGCUAAUACCUCAUAAGUCUUUACGGAGAAAGCUUUAUGCGCCAUUGGAUGAGCCCGCACUUGAUUAGUUUGUUGGUGGGGUAAUGGCCUACCAAGACUUUGAUCAAUAGCUGAUUUGAGAGGAUGAUCAGCCACAUUGGGACUGAGACACGGCCCAAACUCCUACGGGAGGCAGCAGUAGGGAAUCUUGCACAAUGGAGGAAACUCUGAUGCAGCGAUGCCGCGUGAGUGAAGAAGGCCUUUGGGUUGUAAAGCUCUUUCGUCGGGGAAGAAAAUGACUGUACCCGAAUAAGAAGGUCCGGCUAACUUCGUGCCAGCAGCCGCGGUAAUACGAAGGGACCUAGCGUAGUUCGGAAUUACUGGGCUUAAAGAGUUCGUAGGUGGUUAAAAAAGUUGGUGGUGAAAGCCCAGAGCUUAACUCUGGAACUGCCAUCAAAACUUUUUAGCUAGAGUGUGAUAGAGGAAAGCAGAAUUUCUAGUGUAGAGGUGAAAUUCGUAGAUAUUAGAAAGAAUACCAAUUGCGAAGGCAGCUUUCUGGAUCAUUACUGACACUGAGGAACGAAAGCAUGGGUAGCGAAGAGGAUUAGAUACCCUCGUAGUCCAUGCCGUAAACGAUGUGUGUUAGAUGUUGGAAAUUUAUUUUCAGUAUCGCAGCGAAAGCGAUAAACACACCGCCUGGGGAGUACG
RNAcentral lists this ribosomal RNA (792 nucleotides) under uncultured Pelagibacteraceae bacterium. Its description in RNAcentral is "bacterial SSU rRNA". It matches the Rfam family "Bacterial small subunit ribosomal RNA", at positions 44 to 884 of the family's 1533-position model. The record is from RNAcentral. Lineage: Bacteria; Pseudomonadati; Pseudomonadota; Alphaproteobacteria; Candidatus Pelagibacterales; Candidatus Pelagibacteraceae.